ACACCGAGCACAGCAGUUACUGCCUCUUCCCUCUUUCUGUCUCCACUGUCCAUCUUCCCUCCUCCUUCCUCUCGCCUCUCCUGGUUGCAGUUGUAUUUGUGCGCCUUGGGAAGAUUACAAAGAGGUGCUUUGUGAGGGGAUGCAGCUGCUGAAAUCCGACUAGAUCCAGCUGAAGAGAGAAGGGAGCAGGUGGGUCAACAACGCCACCCUGCUGUUCCCAGAAUAUCAGGCUGCAGAGCUGUGCCUCCCUCCCCCACACAGGCACUCUCGCACACACAAACACACAGCAACACAUGCACACACAUCCUCAGAGCACCCCCAUCCCAGCCCAUCACACACAAACAUUAUAACAUGUCAAAAUAAAAACACAGCAACACCCACAAAACAGCAACACAGCAAUAUGCACAUGUCAAAGGACUACCUCUGUGGAAAUACUGCCCACUCAAACAAGUGUGUUUAACAAGAAUCAUUCAUGUAGUGGGAGAAUUUUGGCAGAAAGUUUGAAAGCUACACAAAUUAUUCCCGCACACACACUUAGUGCUGCGUACUAAGGCCUUAUGCUAAUUCUAGGUCGCACCUUAUGAUUUAAUUAACAGCAGCAAUGACAUGGGCAGUCCACGUGCUGUAGAAAGCAGAGGAAGAUCCUGUCAGCUUUGUGAAGCUAAGAUGUUAACAGGUCAGGAUGCUGCCAAAAUGUUGGAUUUCUGCAUCACAAUGGGGACAUUGGUAAGAUGACCCUCAUCCGGCUUUGUGCAGCUCAAAAAGAGGCGGCAGGAGAUGGAGAGAGGAAAGGAAUGAAAGAGAGAAGAGGAAGUCAUGCAGGCGAGCGUUCUUGCUCCCGUUGAAGUGGAUCAGAUGUCUCACCGCCAACCUGACUGCAGGGGACACGAUGCUGGACCAAGUCUUUGGAGUCUGGAGACAGAGUGGGGGGACAGAUCCUGCUGCACAUCUGAAGUUUAUUUGGCCUCCCCCUAGGGAGCGCGGUGAAUCUCUGCAUUUCAAGGAAAUUGCCAGCACUUUUUGAUCCAGCACCCAUCCCCCCUCUCCCUGCAUCUACUCCCCACCUGGCUGUCAUUGAGGUUUCCAUCUAAGGGUGGUGGGGGCUUCAAAUGCAGAGGCAGACAAUCAGACGCAGGUGUCUCCUCUAGUGACCCGGAUGUACUUAUCCCCCGAUGCCUGGUGACCCUGACAGGAAGUGAUUCGCUGGCCAAGUGACCUCCCCUGGUGGCCCUUCCUGUCCCCGUGUUGCCUCUCAGGAAGGAAGGAUGCGGUUUGUUGUCCUCAGGCGCCUCGCUCUCACUCUCCUGUCCUCAGCCUGACGAGAGAAACUAGAUUAUUGAUUCCAGGCUCGUCUCUCCUCGUCCUGUCCUUUUUUUAUUCUUCUUUUUCUGUCUGCUCCAUUCUUCAUCUCUUUCUCUCUUGUCUCAGCACCCACUUUAUUUUCUUUUGACAUCAUCCCUUUCUUCUUUUGUUAUAUUUUCCCUGUCCGUACGAGAUGUGAGUAAACACUGCGGACACAGGCAAACCGCAUCGUCCCCGAUCCCAUUCAAUUACACUCAGGGGGCUAACAAGUUUUUUGAUUUAUAGGCUCCAUUUAUUUUAUUUCUGACACUGAUUUAUUUAUUUGUUUUACUGUUAUUUUAUUGCCCAUACAUUCACAUUAAAUAUGGCAGUCAAUUCAUGUGGUGGAGAAUUUCCAAGGUCAGGCUUCUGGGUUUAGUCUGCUCUAAAAUGAAGUGCAUGCACACUGCAGAUUAAAGACACCAUUUGGUCGUAUUUAGGACGGGAAGGGGACUUCCAGGCAGAGACAGACACAGAGACCUCACUAACAACAUCAAACGCUGUUUUUGUUGUUCUUGGCUGUAGAUUAAGAACAGGAACUUAAACCAACAAGGUGAAAAGGUCAUGAAAAAUCAUUGCCAUUGUUUGUUAAUUGUGUAUCUGUCAAGCAACAAUGUCCAGGCCAGGAAAAACCUUAUCUCCUGAAGACUUUCACUACUUUCUAUGUUUAUAAUGUCAGCGUAGAGCGUAAUUUAUAAUAAUUCGUUUGGUGUAAAGAUGGUGAUAAUACAGUUUUUAUGUCUUAUUAUAGUAGAAUAUUUCUCUUUGUCACUUGUUAAUUAACAUUUUGUAAUUUCUGUCAUCAGCUGUAAUUGUUGUAUUGUGUUUGGUAAUGUGCCUUCAGUUUGUGAUUUUAAUUAUUAAAUGCAUUAACAUAAAAAAUAAUAAAGUUAAACCUUUUAUGAGCCUAAUUGUGUCUUUUUGUAGUUUUAAUAUUGUGAAAAAAAAAGUAGAAACAGAAAAAGCUAA
Molecule: long non-coding RNA, 2310 nt
Filed under: Oreochromis niloticus (Nile tilapia)
Lineage: Eukaryota; Metazoa; Chordata; Actinopteri; Cichliformes; Cichlidae
Description: lncRNA (ENSONIG00000022718.2)
Source: RNAcentral